RNAcentral lists this ribosomal RNA (332 nucleotides) under uncultured eukaryote. RNAcentral's name for it is "partial 18S ribosomal RNA". It matches the Rfam family "Eukaryotic small subunit ribosomal RNA", at positions 1470 to 1796 of the family's 1831-position model. The record is from RNAcentral.
CCCCUAGAUGUUCUGGGCUGCACACGUGCUACACUGGCAGGUUCAGCGAGCUUCAUGCCCUGAUCUGAAAGGAAUGGGAAAUCUUUUCAAAACCUGCCGUGCUUGGGAUAGAUGUUUGCAAUUAUUCAUCUUCAACGAGGAUUGCCUUGUAAGCGCACGUCAUCAGCGUGCAUUGAAUACGACCCUGUAUUCUGUACACACCGCCCGUCGCUCCUACCGAUUGAAGUUUUCGGUGAGUUGACAGGAGGAUUUUUUUGAAACUGGUUCGCCAGUGGAUUUUAGAUCCAAAUGCCAACGAAUCGAUGGCUUUAGAGGAAGGAGAAGUCGUAACA